GUUACAGGCAGGUUUAUGUAUUACAUUUACACCGAAGUUCCAUAGGAUUUACAUUUGAUUUGUUUCGCUCACACUUGUUUUGAGGCAAAAUUGAACAACAAUGUUUCGCGCCCAACCCUCAUUUGCCCGAUUCAAUCUCUUUUCAACUAGACAUUUCUGCACCAAACCCACCAACAAUAUCAAUAACAGCAGCAGCAGCAGCAGCAACGACAUGAUCGAAUCAAAAGUUAGUAAAUACGACGAGGCAUAUCGUCAAUUGGACAAGCUUGACUUCAUGACUGCCGCCAAGAUCCUCUUCACUGAACCCCCCAAGAAAAAGAAGUUCGGAAAAAAUGGAGAGAAAUCAAGGGAAGAGAAUUGACAGACCCUGCUAAAAGUAAUGGUACCUUAUGCUGAAUUUUGCUUUCAAACUUUCCAUUUUGAUUAUAUUCUCCAAACUACUUCUUUGGUAAAGUCAAUACAUUGGUGUCCAAAGAAGAAUUCUUUUAAGACCACCUCGAAUGAUCCAGAUAAGGAAAGGGAUUCCAUGAAAAAUUUUCUUUUCUACUUUGUUGCUUAGCAGAGUUCGGUGUGAAUAUAAUGAUUGGAAAAGCAAAACAGAAUCUUCAAGAAUGCAUCCACACCAUUUGAUCCCAAUAGACAAUCAUAAAUUUUUCUACCCAUUUCCUGGCACUUUCGGCCAUUUAUAGCUGAGGAGUGAAAUUGUUUCAAAUAGAAUAUAUUCCUGAAUGUAGUUGAGCAAUUUUCCUUUCAUUGAGUUUUGGUUUUCUCUGCUAGGUCCCUUCUUUUCCUUAAAUCCAUUUUUGUAGUCUCUUAAGACCUUAAACAUGCUACUAGGAUCAAGAUGUUACUUUAAAGACUAAUGCAUUAAAAAUAAUUACUUGGAUCAAUUUCUGGCAACUCUGGAAGAUCCAAUGGGGAGGCCUAAUUCUUCAAGUGUUAAUUGUGGUUAUAUGUGUGGGAUGUUGAACUAUAUCCCUAGUUUAAAAUGUGCUCAUCAAUGAUUCCCUGUUUAGUUCCUGACAUCUCUAUUUCAUUUUUGAAUGAUGUUUACUUAUAUAUAUCCAUUUUAUGUUCAGGAUCGAUUUUCAUCUGGUACAACUCUUCUUUGCCUGCAUGCCUUCAUUGGGUAUCUAAUCCACAAGUUUAGCAUAUUGCCAUAUUUUCCAUAUUUGAAAUAUCUCUUGGUUUUGUUGCUGCUAUCUAAAAGAGUGCAUUUUUUCUGUACAGCUGUAUAUUUGGUGGCUCAAUAUGCUCGCCAUGAAAUGAGAAAAAUGGAUGAGGAACUCGAGCUGAAAAAGAAGAAAGAAGAAGAGGAGAAAGCAAAAGAGAUGGAACUAAAAGCAAUUGAAGAAAAAGAAGCUAGAUCUAAUCCAGAGCUUUUGGAGGUGAAAGUGAGACUGGAUAAGCUAGAGGAAGCUGUCAAGGAAAUUGUGGUUGAUUCAAAGAAACAAUCAACUGACAAUGCAACAAAAAACCAGGAAGACAGUAGUAAGAAAAAACACAUUGCUCCAACUGAAUCUGGUGACGUCCAGAGCAAAUCAGAACCAAGCAAAUCCACGGAGAAAGACCUUCUUAGCAAACAGAAAUCUACUGGGCCAGCAUCAGAUAAAGGAAAGGUAACUGGAUUGGCACCAACUCCUGGUGCUUCCCAGCAGGAUCAAAAUAGAAAGACCCAAAAUUAAGGAAAUUCUGAAGACACCAAGAAAUGAAGAAUUUGUAAAUUUUGUAGAAAGGAAAGGGUUCAUUUUUAACAAAGCACUUAUCUGAUUCUGUAGGCUGUUUUGCCCCAGAAUCUAUGAGCGUCUUAACUUUUUUGGUCGGGAUAGAUUACACAGAUGCAAUAUUUAACAUUCCAAAUUGCCUAUUAUUCGGAGUUUUAUAUGCAAGUAUUUGAGAAAAGAAUGUUUGGUGAACUGACUCAUGAAGUUAUUUUCUUGUUGGGUUUGUAUUUUGUUUGCUUCAUCUAGAAAGUUUUGGAGUUGGCGAGAUUCGAGAGCCCAUUCUUCCUUUCUUAGUUGUGAUUAUUGACAAUGUUCUGUAGAUAUUGGAUGCUUAAAGUUGCUUAAUGCUUAA
This 2076-nucleotide unclassified non-coding RNA is filed under the name Hevea brasiliensis (rubber tree). Lineage: Eukaryota; Viridiplantae; Streptophyta; Magnoliopsida; Malpighiales; Euphorbiaceae. The record is from RNAcentral.